This 253-nucleotide ribosomal RNA is filed under the name uncultured bacterium. RNAcentral describes it as "partial 16S ribosomal RNA". It matches the Rfam family "Bacterial small subunit ribosomal RNA", at positions 524 to 776 of the family's 1533-position model. The record is from RNAcentral.
UACGUAGGCAGCAAGCGUUGUUCGGAGUUACUGGGCGUAAAGGGUGUGUAGGCGGUUCUUUAAGUUUGGUGUGAAAUCUCCCGGCUCAACCGGGAGGGUGCGCCGAAAACUGAAGGGCUAGAGUGCGGGAGAGGAGAGUGGAAUUCCUGGUGUAGCGGUGAAAUGCGUAGAUAUUGUUUGGAACGCCAAUGGUGAAAACAGGUAGCUGGGAGUGUGCCGACGCUGAGACACGAAAGCCAGGGGAGCGAACGGG